AGUGAACGCUGGCGGUAGGCCUAACACAUGCAAGUCGAACGGCAGCACAGUAAGAGCUUGCUCUUACGGGUGGCGAGUGGCGGACGGGUGGGGAAUACAUCGGAAUCUACUUUUUCGUGGGGGAUAACGUAGGGAAACUUACGCUAAUACCGCAUACGACCUACGGGUGAAAGCAGGGGAUCUUCGGACCUUGCGCGAUUGAAUGAGCCGAUGUCGGAUUAGCUAGUUGGCGGGGUAAAGGCCCACCAAGGCGACGAUCCGUAGCUGGUGUGAGAGGAUGAUCAGCCACACUGGAACUGAGACACGGUCCAGACUCCUACGGGAGGCAGCAGUGGGGAAUAUUGGACAAUGGGCGCAAGCCUGAUCCAGCCAUACCGCGUGGGUGAAGAAGGCCUUCGGGUUGUAAAGCCCUUUUGUUGGGAAAGAAAAGCAGCAGGUUAAUACCCCGCUGUUCUGACGGUACCCAAAGAAUAAGCACCGGCUAACUUCGUG
RNAcentral lists this ribosomal RNA (492 nucleotides) under uncultured bacterium. RNAcentral's name for it is "partial 16S ribosomal RNA". It matches the Rfam family "Bacterial small subunit ribosomal RNA", at positions 29 to 507 of the family's 1533-position model. The record is from RNAcentral.